RNAcentral lists this ribosomal RNA (326 nucleotides) under uncultured Syntrophus sp. RNAcentral describes it as "bacterial SSU rRNA". It matches the Rfam family "Bacterial small subunit ribosomal RNA", at positions 1055 to 1382 of the family's 1533-position model. Lineage: Bacteria; Pseudomonadati; Thermodesulfobacteriota; Syntrophia; Syntrophales; Syntrophaceae. The record is from RNAcentral.
UCAGCUCGUGUCGUGAGAUGUAGGGUUAAGUCCCGCAACGAGCGCAACCCUUGUCUUUAACUUGCCAUCAUUGAGUUGGGCACUUUAAAGAGACUGCCGGUGUUAAACCGGAGGAAGGUGGGAUGACGUCAAGUCCUCAUGGCCUUUAUGCCCAGGGCUACACACGUGCUACAAUGGGUGGUACAAAGAGCAGCCAGCUCGCGAGAGUAUGCAAAUCUCAAAAAGCCAUCCUCAGUUCGGAUUGGAGUCUGCAACUCGACUACGUGAAGUCGGAAUCGCUAGUAAUCGUGGAUCAGAAUGUCACGGUGAAUACGUUCCCGGGUCUU